GACGAACGCUGGCGGCGUGCUUAACACAUGCAAGUCGAACGGAAAGGCCCUGCUUUUGUGGGGUGCUCGAGUGGCGAACGGGUGAGUAACACGUGAGUAACCUGCCCUUGACUUUGGGAUAACUUCACGAAACUGGGGCUAAUACCGGAUAGGAGCUCCUGCUGCAUGGUGGGGGUUGGAAAGUUUCGGCGGUUGGGGAUGGACUCGCGGCUUAUCAGCUUGUUGGUGGGGUAGUGGCUUACCAAGGCUUUGACGGGUAGCCGGCCUGAGAGGGUGACCGGCCACAUUGGGACUGAGAUACGGCCCAGACUCCUACGGGAGGCAGCAGUGGGGAAUAUUGCACAAUGGGCGGAAGCCUGAUGCAACAACGCCGCGUGCGGGAUGACGGCCUUCGGGUUGUAAACCGCUUUCGCCUGUGACGAAGCGUGAGUGACGGUAAUGGGUAAAGAAGCACCGGCUAACUACGUG
Molecule: ribosomal RNA, 468 nt
Filed under: uncultured bacterium
Lineage: Bacteria
Description: partial 16S ribosomal RNA
Rfam family: Bacterial small subunit ribosomal RNA
Source: RNAcentral